AGCGCAACCCUCGACCUUAGUUGCCAGCAUUCAGUUGGGCACUCUAAGGUGACUGCCGGCUAAAAGUCGGAGGAAGGUGGGGGAUGACGUCAAAUCAUCAUGCCCUUAUGACCUGGGCUACACACGUGCUACAAUGGGCGGUACAAAGGGUCGCGAACCCGCGAGGGGGAGCCAAUCCCAAAAAGCCGCUCUCAGUUCGGAUUGCAGGCUGCAACUCGCCUGCAUGAAGCCGGAAUCGCUAGUAAUCGCGGAUCAGCAUGCCGCGGUGAAUACGUUCCCGGGCCUU
This 286-nucleotide ribosomal RNA is filed under the name uncultured Anoxybacillus sp. RNAcentral describes it as "partial 16S ribosomal RNA". It matches the Rfam family "Bacterial small subunit ribosomal RNA", at positions 1095 to 1382 of the family's 1533-position model. Lineage: Bacteria; Bacillati; Bacillota; Bacilli; Caryophanales; Anoxybacillaceae. The record is from RNAcentral.